GGAGUCUGGGCCGUGUCUCAGUCCCAAUGCGGCCGAUCAACCUCUCAGUUCGGCUACAGAUCGUCGCCUUGGUGGGCCGUUACCUCACCAACUAGCUAAUCUGACGCGAAUCCAUCCAUAAGCGAUAAAUCUUUCAUAAUCCCGCCAUGCGGCAGGUUUACAAUAUGCGGUAUUAGUCCACGUUUCCAUGAAUUAUUCCACUCUUAUGGGCAGGUUAUUCACGCGUUACUCGCCCGUCCGCCACUAAGUUACAAUAUCUUCGCCCCGAAGGACUCCGUUAAAGCAACUCCGUUCGACUUGCAUGUGUUAGGCACGCCGCCAGCGUUCAUC
This 330-nucleotide ribosomal RNA is filed under the name uncultured Oscillospiraceae bacterium. RNAcentral's name for it is "partial 16S ribosomal RNA". Lineage: Bacteria; Bacillati; Bacillota; Clostridia; Eubacteriales; Oscillospiraceae. The record is from RNAcentral.